This 253-nucleotide ribosomal RNA is filed under the name uncultured bacterium. Its description in RNAcentral is "partial 16S ribosomal RNA". It matches the Rfam family "Bacterial small subunit ribosomal RNA", at positions 524 to 776 of the family's 1533-position model. The record is from RNAcentral.
UACGGAGGGUGCAAACGUUGCUCGGAAUCAUUGGGCGUAAAGCGCACGUAGGCGGUCCAGUAAGUCGGGUGUGAAAGCCCUGGGCUCAACCCAGGAAGGGCACUCGAAACUGCUGGGCUGGAGUACGGAAGAGGGUCUCGGAAUUCCCGGUGUAGAGGUGAAAUUCGUAGAUAUCGGGAGGAACACCAGUGGCGAAGGCGGAGACCUGGGCCGAUACUGACGCUGAGGUGCGAAAGCGUGGGGAGCAAACAGG